Long non-coding RNA from Quercus lobata, 406 nucleotides. RefSeq lists it as uncharacterized. The record is from RefSeq and is a predicted model, not a curated record. The transcript is spliced from 3 exons. Lineage: Eukaryota; Viridiplantae; Streptophyta; Magnoliopsida; Fagales; Fagaceae.
UUUUAUUUCUUACUUGGCAACUGUAGUUUAUAUUUGCUAUGUUGUAUUGUAGGCUAUUUCUGUGGCUGAAAGAGUUGCUGAUGAGUGUUGUGAACCUUCACCAGUCUUGCACAAUCCUCAGAUAGAGGUUCGGGGAGCCCAAAAGUGACUGAGUGGCAGCUUGUUUGAAGUUUACAUUCUUCUUUCCAUGGGCAAACACUGGGAUUGCUAAAGGGUGAGUAAGAUCUACUUCUUAAUUCCCUUAAAUUGUAAAAUAAUGUGGUGGGUUGUUGUUUAGGAGCAAGCAGGUGGCUUGCAUGGAGAGAAAAGGUGGAAUAUAUUGGGAGUGUUGUUUGUUUUGUGAAUGUUAACAUAUUGUUGUCAAUUUCUUGUAUUUUGUCUAAGUAAAUACAUAUAGUAUGCUGUG